UCCCUGGUGGUCUAGUGAUCAAGACUCUGCCUUUCAAUGCAGGGGACACAGAUUCAAUCCCUGGUCAGGGAA
This 72-nucleotide transfer RNA is filed under the name Ovis aries (sheep). It matches the Rfam family "tRNA". From Rfam's summary of the family: Transfer RNA (tRNA) molecules are approximately 80 nucleotides in length. Their secondary structure includes four short double-helical elements and three loops (D, anti-codon, and T loops). Further hydrogen bonds mediate the characteristic L-shaped molecular structure. tRNAs have two regions of fundamental functional importance: the anti-codon, which is responsible for specific mRNA codon recognition, and the 3' end, to which the tRNAs corresponding amino acid is attached (by aminoacyl-tRNA synthetases). tRNAs cope with the degeneracy of the genetic code in two manners: having more than one tRNA (with a specific anti-codon) for a particular amino acid; and 'wobble' base-pairing, i.e. permitting non-standard base-pairing at the 3rd anti-codon position. The record is from Rfam by way of RNAcentral. Lineage: Eukaryota; Metazoa; Chordata; Mammalia; Artiodactyla; Bovidae.